Molecule: ribosomal RNA, 503 nt
Filed under: uncultured bacterium
Lineage: Bacteria
Description: bacterial SSU rRNA
Rfam family: Bacterial small subunit ribosomal RNA
Source: RNAcentral
AUUGAACGCUAGCGGGAUGCCUUACACAUGCAAGUCGAACGGCAGCACGGACUUCGGUCUGGUGGCGAGUGGCGAACGGGUGAGUAAUGUAUCGGAACGUGCCCAGUAGCGGGGGAUAACUACGCGAAAGCGUAGCUAAUACCGCAUACGCCCUUAGGGGGAAAGCAGGGGAUCGCAAGACCUUGCACUAUUGGAGCGGCCGAUAUCGGAUUAGCUAGUUGGUGAGGUAAUGGCUCACCAAGGCCGCGAUCCGUAGCUGGUUUGAGAGGACGACCAGCCACACUGGGACUGAGACACGGCCCAGACUCCUACGGGAGGCAGCAGUGGGGAAUUUUGGACAAUGGGGGAAACCCUGAUCCAGCCAUCCCGCGUGUGCGAUGAAGGCCUUCGGGUUGUAAAGCACUUUUGGCAGGAAAGAAACGGCGCGUGCUAAUACCAUGCGCAACUGACGGUACCUGCAGAAUAAGCACCGGCUAACUACGUGCCAGCCGCCGCCGUAACAC